This 497-nucleotide ribosomal RNA is filed under the name uncultured bacterium. RNAcentral's name for it is "partial 16S ribosomal RNA". It matches the Rfam family "Bacterial small subunit ribosomal RNA", at positions 28 to 507 of the family's 1533-position model. The record is from RNAcentral.
GACGAACGCUGGCGGCGUGCCUAAUACAUGCAAGUAGAACGCUGAAGGGAGGAGCUUGCUCUUCUUGGAUGAGUUGCGAACGGGUGAGUAACGCGUAGGUAACCUGCCUUGUAGCGGGGGAUAACUAUUGGAAACGAUAGCUAAUACCGCAUAACAAUGGAUGACACAUGUAAUUUAUUUGAAAGGGGCAAUUGCUCCACUACAAGAUGGACCUGCGUUGUAUUAGCUAGUAGGUGAGGUAAUGGCCCACCUAGGCGGAGAUACAUAGCCGACCUGGGAGGGUGAUCGGCCCAACUGGGACUGAGACAAGGCCCAGACUCCUUCGGGAGGCAGCAGUAGGGGAUCUUUGGCAAUUGGGGCAACCCUGACCGAGCAACGCCGCGGGAGGUAAGAAGGGUCUCGGAUCGUAAAGCUCUGUUGUAAGUCAAGAACGGGUGUUAGAGUAGAAAGUUCACACUGUGACGGUAGCUUACCAGAAAGGGACGGCUAACUACGUG